GCCNCCGUAGAGUUUGGAUCUGGCUCAGGACGAACGCUGGCGGCGUGCCUAAUACAUGCAAGUGGAACGCAUUGAUUUCACCGGAGCUUGCUCCACCGAAAUUAGUGAGUCGCGAACGGGUGAGUAACGCGUAGGUAACCUACCUCUUAGCGGGGGAUAACUAUUGGAAACGAUAGCUAAUACCGCAUAACAAUUGGAUACACAUGUACCCUAUUUAAAAGGAGCAACUGCUUCACUAAGAGAUGGACCUGCGUUGUAUUAGCUAGUUGGUAGGGUAACGGCCUACCAAGGCAUCGAUACAUAGCCGACCUGAGAGGGUGAUCGGCCACACUGGGACUGAGACACGGCCCAGACUCCUACGGGAGGCAGCAGUAGGGAAUCUUCGGCAAUGGGGGGAACCCUGACCGAGCAACGCCGCGUGAGUGAAGAAGGUUUUCGGAUCGUAAAGCUCUGUUGUAAGAGAAGAACGUGUGAGAGAGUGGAAAGUUCUCACAGUGACGGUAACUUACCAGAAAGGGACGGCUAACUACGUGCCAGCAGCCGCGGUAAUACGUAGGUCCCGAGCGUUGUCCGGAUUUAUUGGGCGUAAAGCGAGCGCAGGUGGUUGUAUAAGUCUGAAGUAAAAGGCAGUGGCUUAACCAUUGUGUGCUUUGGAAACUGUACAACUUGAGUGCAGAAGGGGAGAGUGGAAUUCCAUGUGUAGCGGUGAAAUGCGUAGAUAUAUGGAGGAACACCGGUGNGCGAAAGCGGCUCUCNNUGGUCGUAACUGACACUAGCUCGACGCGCC
RNAcentral lists this ribosomal RNA (787 nucleotides) under Streptococcus minor. RNAcentral's name for it is "bacterial SSU rRNA". It matches the Rfam family "Bacterial small subunit ribosomal RNA", at positions 1 to 763 of the family's 1533-position model. Lineage: Bacteria; Bacillati; Bacillota; Bacilli; Lactobacillales; Streptococcaceae. The record is from RNAcentral.